CCAGCACCCCGAGUGGUCGGGACGAUUAUUGGGCCUAAAGCAUCCGUAGCCGGUUUUACAAGUCCUCCGUUAAAUCCAACUGCUUAACAGAUGGGCCGCGGAGGAUACUAUAAGACUAGGAGGCAGGAGAGGCAAGCGGUACUCAAUGGGUAGGGGUAAAAUCCGUUGAUCCAUUGAAGACCACCAGUGGCGAAGGCGGCUUGCCAGAAUGCGCUCGACGGUGAGGGAUGAAAGCUGGGGGGAGCAAACCGGAUUAGAUACCCGGGUAGUCCCAGCUGUAAACGAUGCAGACUCGGUGAUGGACUAGCUUCAUGCUAGUCCAGUGCCGCAGGGAAGCCGUUAAGUCUGCCGCCUGGGUAGUACGGUCGCAAGACUG
This 376-nucleotide ribosomal RNA is filed under the name uncultured organism. RNAcentral describes it as "bacterial SSU rRNA". It matches the Rfam family "Archaeal small subunit ribosomal RNA", at positions 476 to 851 of the family's 1478-position model. The record is from RNAcentral.